This 86-nucleotide microRNA precursor is filed under the name Mustela putorius furo (domestic ferret). RNAcentral describes it as "mir-431 microRNA precursor family". It matches the Rfam family "mir-431 microRNA precursor family". Lineage: Eukaryota; Metazoa; Chordata; Mammalia; Carnivora; Mustelidae. The record is from Rfam by way of RNAcentral.
CGUCCUGCGAGGUGUCUUGCAGGCCGUCGUGCAGGCCGCGCUGACGGCAACGUUGCAGGUCGCCUUGCAGGGCUCCUCGCAAGACG